This 377-nucleotide unclassified non-coding RNA is filed under the name soil metagenome. RNAcentral describes it as "partial contains 5.8S ribosomal RNA, internal transcribed spacer 2, and large subunit ribosomal RNA". The stretch from base 1 to 120 matches the Rfam family "5.8S ribosomal RNA", at positions 35 to 154 of the family's 154-position model. The record is from RNAcentral.
GAUGAAGAACGUAGCGAAAUGCGAUAAGUAAUGUGAAUUGCAGAAUUCAGUGAAUCAUCGAAUCUUUGAACGCAUCUUGCGCUCCUUGGUAUUCUGAGGAGCAUGCCUGUUUGAGUGUCAUUAAAUUCUCAACCGCACUGACUUUGAAUUGGUGUGGCUUGGAUAUGGGGGGAAAAUUGUUGUGGGCUUUUUUGUAUAGUCUGCUCCCCUGAAAUUGAUUAGCGGUACCUUUGUGGAACUGUCUACAGGUGUGAUAAUUAUCUACAUCCUAGACAUCUGCUGGAAUGCUGCUUUCUAAACCUUACUUGUAUUGACAAUCUUGACCUCAAAUCAGGUAGGACUACCCGCUGAACUUAAGCAUAUCAAUAAGCGGAGGA